AUUGAACGCUGGCGGCAUGCCUUACACAUGCAAGUCGAACGGCAGCACGGGUGCUUGCACCUGGUGGCGAGUGGCGAACGGGUGAGUAAUACAUCGGAACAUGUCCUGUAGUGGGGGAUAGCCCGGCGAAAGCCGGAUUAAUACCGCAUACGAUCUACGGAUGAAAGCGGGGGACCUUCGGGCCUCGCGCUAUAGGGUUGGCAGAUGGCUGAUUAGCUAGUUGGUGGGGUAAAGGCCUACCAAGGCGACGCUCAGUAGCUGGUCUGAGAGGACGACCAGCCACACUGGGACUGAGACACGGCCCAGACUCCUACGGGAGGCAGCAGUGGGGAAUUUUGGACAAUGGGCGAAAGCCUGAUCCAGCAAUGCCGCGUGUGUGAAGAAGGCCUUCGGGUUGUAAAGCACUUUUGUCCGGAAAGAAAUCCUUGGCCCUAAUACGGUCGGGGGAUGACGGUACCGGAAGAAUAAGCACCGGCUAACUACGUG
Molecule: ribosomal RNA, 486 nt
Filed under: uncultured bacterium
Lineage: Bacteria
Description: partial 16S ribosomal RNA
Rfam family: Bacterial small subunit ribosomal RNA
Source: RNAcentral